This 1396-nucleotide ribosomal RNA is filed under the name Enterococcus faecium. RNAcentral's name for it is "bacterial SSU rRNA". It matches the Rfam family "Bacterial small subunit ribosomal RNA", at positions 62 to 1433 of the family's 1533-position model. RNAcentral also lists the same sequence under 1 other name. Lineage: Bacteria; Bacillati; Bacillota; Bacilli; Lactobacillales; Enterococcaceae. The record is from RNAcentral.
UUGAUUGAUGGUGCUUGCACCUGAUUGAUUUUGGUCGCCAACGAGUGGCGGACGGGUGAGUAACACGUAGGUAACCUGCCCAGAAGCGGGGGACAACAUUUGGAAACAGAUGCUAAUACCGCAUAACAGCGUUGUUCGCAUGAACAACGCUUAAAAGAUGGCUUCUCGCUAUCACUUCUGGAUGGACCUGCGGUGCAUUAGCUUGUUGGUGGGGUAACGGCCUACCAAGGCGAUGAUGCAUAGCCGAGUUGAGAGACUGAUCGGCCACAAUGGGACUGAGACACGGCCCAUACUCCUACGGGAGGCAGCAGUAGGGAAUCUUCCACAAUGGGCGCAAGCCUGAUGGAGCAACACCGCGUGAGUGAAGAAGGGUUUCGGCUCGUAAAGCUCUGUUGUUAAAGAAGAACACGUAUGAGAGUAACUGUUCAUACGUUGACGGUAUUUAACCAGAAAGUCACGGCUAACUACGUGCCAGCAGCCGCGGUAAUACGUAGGUGGCAAGCGUUAUCCGGAUUUAUUGGGCGUAAAGAGAGUGCAGGCGGUUUUCUAAGUCUGAUGUGAAAGCCUUCGGCUUAACCGGAGAAGUGCAUCGGAAACUGGAUAACUUGAGUGCAGAAGAGGGUAGUGGAACUCCAUGUGUAGCGGUGGAAUGCGUAGAUAUAUGGAAGAACACCAGUGGCGAAGGCGGCUACCUGGUCUGCAACUGACGCUGAGACUCGAAAGCAUGGGUAGCGAACAGGAUUAGAUACCCUGGUAGUCCAUGCCGUAAACGAUGAGUGCUAGGUGUUGGAGGGUUUCCGCCCUUCAGUGCCGGAGCUAACGCAUUAAGCACUCCGCCUGGGGAGUACGACCGCAAGGUUGAAACUCAAAGGAAUUGACGGGGGCCCGCACAAGCGGUGGAGCAUGUGGUUUAAUUCGAAGCUACGCGAAGAACCUUACCAGGUCUUGACAUCUUGCGCCAACCCUAGAGAUAGGGCGUUUCCUUCGGGAACGCAAUGACAGGUGGUGCAUGGUCGUCGUCAGCUCGUGUCGUGAGAUGUUGGGUUAAGUCCCGCAACGAGCGCAACCCUUGUUACUAGUUGCCAGCAUUAAGUUGGGCACUCUAGUGAGACUGCCGGUGACAAACCGGAGGAAGGUGGGGACGACGUCAGAUCAUCAUGCCCCUUAUGACCUGGGCUACACACGUGCUACAAUGGACGGUACAACGAGUCGCGAACUCGCGAGGGCAAGCAAAUCUCUUAAAACCGUUCUCAGUUCGGACUGCAGGCUGCAACUCGCCUGCACGAAGUCGGAAUCGCUAGUAAUCGCGGAUCAGCAUGCCGCGGUGAAUACGUUCCCGGGCCUUGUACACACCGCCCGUCACACCAUGAGAGUUUGUAACACCCAAAGUCGGUGG